RNAcentral lists this ribosomal RNA (403 nucleotides) under Verrucomicrobiota bacterium. RNAcentral's name for it is "Verrucomicrobia bacterium partial 16S ribosomal RNA". It matches the Rfam family "Bacterial small subunit ribosomal RNA", at positions 355 to 776 of the family's 1533-position model. Lineage: Bacteria; Pseudomonadati; Verrucomicrobiota. The record is from RNAcentral.
UGGGGAAUAUUGCAUAAUGGGGGAAACCCUGAUGCAGCGACGCCGCGUGAGCGAAGAAGGCUUUCGAGUCGUAAAGCUCUGUCCUAUGAGAAGAUAAUGACGGUAUCAUAGGAGGAAGCCCUGGCUAAAUACGUGCCAGCAGCCGCGGUAAUACGUAUGGGGCGAGCGUUGUCCGGAAUUAUUGGGCGUAAAGGGUACGUAGGUGGUUUUUUAAGUCAGGUGUCAAAGCGUGGAGCUUAACUCCAUUAAGCACUUGAAACUGAAAAACUUGAGUGAAGGAGAGGAAAGUGGAAUUCCUAGUGUAGCGGUGAAGUGCGUAGAUAUUAGGAGGAAUACCGGUGGCGAAGGCGACUUUCUGGACUUUUACUGACGCUCAGGUACGAAAGCGUGGGGAGCAAACGGG